RNAcentral lists this ribosomal RNA (455 nucleotides) under Orussus terminalis. RNAcentral describes it as "partial 16S rRNA". Lineage: Eukaryota; Metazoa; Arthropoda; Insecta; Hymenoptera; Orussidae. The record is from RNAcentral.
CUGCCCAUUGAUGAAAUUUAAAGGCUGCAGUAAACUGACUGCACAAAGGUAGCAUAAUCAAUAGUUUCUUAAUUGGAAGCUUGUAUGAAGGAUUGAACGAGAUAACUACUUUCUAAAAAUAAUUGUAUGAUGAAUUUAAUCUUUAGAUUAAAAAGUCUAAAUAAUAUUAAUAGACGAUAAGACCCUAUAGAAUUUUAUAAUUAUAUUGAUUUGAUUAUGAGAUAAACUUUGAUUAAAUAAGUAUUAUUAUUUUGUUGGGGAGAUAUUAAGAUUAAAAUAACUCUUAAUUUUUAUAAUCAAUAAUUUUUGAUAAAAGAUGAUCCUGUAUUACAGAAUUAAGAACAAAUUACCUUAGGGAUAACAGCGUAAUUCUUUUUGAAAGUUCAUAUUAAUAAAAGAGGUUGCGACCUCGAUGUUGAAUUAAGAUAAAUUUAAGGUGUAGGAGCUUAUAUAUU